UUGAAAGGGAAACGAUUGAAGUCAGUCGUACCAGCGGGAAAUCAACCUUUCGAGUGGGGGUUUUGGAGUUUUGAAGAGUUUCAAAACCUUUGAGAUUUCAAAAAUUUCGCUCUUUUGGUGUACUUUCUCGUGGGUAGGUUAACAUCGAUUUUGAUCAUCAUAAAAAGACUGGAGGAAUGUAGCUUCGAUCUUGUAUUGAAGUGUUAUAGCCUUUGGUAAAUGUGAUGAUUAGGAUCGAGGAUUGCAACGAAUACCCUUUUGGGCUAUCCGCCUGAUCUCUGAUACGUGGCCUUGGCAUCGAAAGCUUGCUUAUGGUAUCAAGGUAUUACGGUCAAAAGGUUAGAACGGAUUACAUUCGUUAAGGAUGUUGACGUA
This 375-nucleotide ribosomal RNA is filed under the name uncultured Glomeromycotina. RNAcentral describes it as "LSU rRNA". The record is from RNAcentral. Lineage: Eukaryota; Fungi; Glomeromycota.